RNAcentral lists this ribosomal RNA (301 nucleotides) under uncultured bacterium. Its description in RNAcentral is "partial 16S ribosomal RNA". It matches the Rfam family "Bacterial small subunit ribosomal RNA", at positions 509 to 808 of the family's 1533-position model. The record is from RNAcentral.
CAGCCGCGCGGGAAUACGUAGGUGGCAAGCGUUGUCCGGAAUUAUUGGGCGUAAAGGGCUCGCAGGCGGUUUCUUAAGUCUGAUGUGAAAGCCCCCGGCUCAACCGGGGAGGGUCAUUGGAAACUGGGAAACUUGAGUGCAGAAGAGGAGAGUGGAAUUCCACGUGUAGCGGUGAAAUGCGUAGAGAUGUGGAGGAACACCAGUGGCGAAGGCGACUCUCUGGUCUGUAACUGACGCUGAGGAGCGAAAGCGUGGGGAGCGAACAGGAUUAGAUACCCGCGUAGUCCCUGUCUCUUAUACA